Eublepharis macularius is the source of this 755-nucleotide long non-coding RNA. RefSeq lists it as uncharacterized. The record is from RefSeq and is a predicted model, not a curated record. The transcript has 3 exons. NCBI's taxonomy places the organism in Eukaryota, Metazoa, Chordata, Lepidosauria, Squamata, Eublepharidae.
GUCACAAAGGAAGGAAGGAGAAGAAACAGCCUGACUUGCAGCUCUUUUGGGCCCUGUUCCAGGCUUGCACUGGCUGGUAGCCACUUUCUCCAGGACAUUGCCUAGUAAAUUUGAACAGUAUCAGGGGAGUUGUAAGCAAAAGGCAGUACAGACAAGAACAAAUGAUCCUUCUUUGGCUGCAUAUUGUUGUAUCCUUGGAUGCACGGUUACAAGCAUAGCUGCUGAGAAAAGAACAGAAUGAAAAGCUGUAAAUGAAGGUGAAAAAAUGCCUUUCCAAAUUCCAAAGAAUGGCAAGUGUCAGCCCAGAAAAACAUCCCCAUCGAAGCAAAAGAUCAGCCACGAUAAAGAUGAGGAACAAGAAGUGACAUUCAAAGCUACUGAAAUAGAUACAGUCCCUUUUAAGCUCAGGAUGAGCAGCUUUUUUCUCAGUUUCAUUCUGUUACUGAUCUAUGGGUCCAUUCUGCACUGCACCCAAUUCUUGAGUUAUGGAUAACUGCUAAGAUUAAUUGGAGAAAGACAGCAUGUGCAAUUUGCAUUAUCUUUCAAUUUCUGCCAUCUAUUUGCUUCUUCCCUGCCCCCCAUGAUACCAAAGGAUGAAUGCAUUUUGAUUAAACACUGCAAAAAAGCAAUCUUGAUAUGAAGGAAUCAUGUAUGAUUGCCUCAGAAUUGUUUUCUGUGUAGUUUCAUUUAUACACAAAUGUCCAUUGGUGCACACAUCACACAGAGAGAUUCCCAAUGCAAAGAAUCAUACAGUU